CAUGACACUGAGGGAAAAGGAUUUAUUCGCUUUAGGAUGGACUCGCGUCCAAUUAGCUAGUUGGUGAGGUAACGGCCCACCAAGGCGACGAUUGGUAGCCGGACUGAGAGGUUGAACGGCCACAUUGGGACUGAGACACGGCCCAGACUCCUACGGGAGGCAGCAGUGGGGGAUAUUGCACAAUGGGGGAAACCCUGAUGCAGCGACGCCGCGUGGAGGAAGAAGGUUUUCGGAUUGUAAACUCCUGUCGUUAGGGACGAUAAUGACGGUACCUAACAAGAAAGCACCGGCUAACUACGUGCCAGCAGCCGCGGUAAAACGUAGGGUGCAAGCGUUGUCCGGAAUUACUGGGUGUAAAGGGAGCGCAGGCGGGAAGACAAGUUGGAAGUGAAAACCAUGGGCUCAACCCAUGAAUUGCUUUCAAAACUGUUUUUCUUGAGUAGUGCAGAGGUAGAUGGAAUUCCCGGUGUAGCGGUGGAAUGCGUAGAUAUCGGGAGGAACACCAGUGGCGAAGGCGGUCUACUGGGCACCAACUGACGCUGAGGCUCGAAAGCAUGGGUAGCAAACAGGAUUAGAUACCCUGGUAGUCCAUGCCGUAAACGAUGAUAAGGAGGUGUUGGGGGAUUGACCCCCUCAGUGCCGCAG
Molecule: ribosomal RNA, 645 nt
Filed under: uncultured bacterium
Lineage: Bacteria
Description: bacterial SSU rRNA
Rfam family: Bacterial small subunit ribosomal RNA
Source: RNAcentral